This is a long non-coding RNA of Onychostoma macrolepis, 1832 nucleotides long. RefSeq lists it as uncharacterized. The record is from RefSeq and is a predicted model, not a curated record. NCBI's taxonomy places the organism in Eukaryota, Metazoa, Chordata, Actinopteri, Cypriniformes, Cyprinidae. The transcript has 3 exons.
CGCACUUUUGGAUUUUGAACCGUGACGUCAAGCCGUUCUCAACCGCCAACCAGACAGUUUGUAAAAUGUUGCGUUUCUGAUUAUUUUCUUUUUUCGAAGAAAACGCAGUCGAAACAGGUCUAUCGAGUUACACUGAAGACACGCACAUUCACGACGAAACAUUAAUUAAGGAAGAAUGGUAUUUCUCCGAGGAAGUAAUCGUCAGCUGGCCCGCUGCGAGAAACCAGACGUCUCAGUUCAUCAGUUUUUGCUGAGUCAGGCCUGGAUGAAAACCUGCUUAAAGAGAGAGAUAGAUUAACUGGGAAGAUGAAGCCUGGUGCUGAUGUACCUGGUAAGCUAAAUGAAGAAUUGUAAAACCGAAAAAGCUCAGAUGACGCUGAAAAGACUGUCAGCUCAGCCUCAACCCCUGUAAAUGAAUCAGCUCAAGAAAUGCAAAGAAGAAUAGAAGGGCUACAGGAAGAAAACAGCGGCUCAGAGAGGAACUUGAAAAGGGAAAAAUUAGUGGACUGAGAUCUCGAGUCACGUCUUUCAGUUAUUUAUAUUUUAUCUAAACAAAAACUUCUCACAAAAUGAGGAAUAUUAUAAAGCAGUUACAAUAAAAAGUAAACAAUAUGCUCUCUAAAAAGUUGAUGCAGUUGUUAUAGAGCCAAUAUUUACCUGAUCUUAAAAAUGACUUUGAUCUGUCAAUACAGUCAGGUUGAUUAUGUUAAAUAACCAGUUCAUUUAGAUGUUACCACAUAAAGUUCUCCAGUGAAGUGCAGACAUGAUGCAAGUGUUGUAAAUGGCCGCUUCAUUGAUUACACUCUGUAUAAUUUUAAACAUAGUCUGAAGUCUCUAAUAUAAUAUAUGUUUUUAUAGAAAAAUUUCAAAGCACCUUUUAUAUUUCUCUAAAUUAUUUAUAAGAUAAAAUAAAUUGUUUACAUAAAAAAUAAUUAGUUAAAAUCUUGUUUCAGAGAUUCCUGGAUUCUCAAUGAGCUGAGAAGGCUAAGGACAGAGGCACAACCUCAAACUGAAAGUGAGGUAAAUAUAAAAUUGUAUUUAGAAAAAAAUGUUGUUUCAAUCCUCAAAUUUGAUUGAUUGGUGGUCCAAGACAUUUCACUGUUUGUAUUACUCUGUGAUUAUGUAUGUGGUGCACAGUAGAAGCAGGUUGGGGAAUGGAUUGAUCUGAAUUGAGGAGCAUAUUUUUUGAAAGCCCUCGAUGCUCCUAUUUAGUGAGUAGGGAGCAGAAAAAGAAAACCUAGAGUGGAAUAUAUGUGUUGCUCACAUUAUACUAAACACACUCUUUGUCACACACACAGUUUCGUAAUGAACUGAAACAUUUGUACACUUCUCAUGAUAACAUAAAAGUUCUCUACUAUUGUGUUUUGCACAGUUGCUUUGGCAAAACAUCUGUCAAACAAACUAAAAUCGAAGUGUGUUAUUUCUCAGUGCUAGGGGUGGGCGAUAUGACCAAAAUCUUAUAUCACGAUAUGACUAAUUUUAAAUCACGAUAACGAUAUAUAUCACGAUAUAGUAAUUUUUUUAUAUUAAAAUCUUUGAUACCAUAGAAUUUUCAUAAUCCUUGUCACCAAUGUCAAUAUCAAACUAAUACAAGCCUUAAAAUAGACAAAAAAAAAAAACACUCAAGCUCACUGAAAAUAAAGUCAGUGAUGAAAUAAGUAUAAGAAACUAAUUGCAAGCAAUAGGACAAAAACUACAAUACAUAAGAAACGCUACAUACAUUGUGUAAAUUAAUUAGUCUUCACUGUGUUAAUUAUAUCUAUCUAUCCAUCUAUGAUAGAUAUAAUUAACAUGUUUAUUAUGUAUAGAUUAGGGCUGGGUAUCGAUUCAGA